AACGGGUGGUAAUGCCGGAUGCUCCAGUUGGACGCAUGUCGUGUCGGGAAAGAUUCAUCGGUAUGGGAUGGGGUCGCGUCCUAUCAGCUUGAUGGCGGGGUAACGGCCCACCAUGGCUUCGACGGGUAGCCGGCCUGAGAGGGCGACCGGCCACAUUGGGACUGAGAUACGGCCCAGACUCCUACGGGAGGCAGCAGUGGGGAAUAUUGCACAAUGGGCGCAAGCCUGAUGCAGCGACGCCGCGUGCGGGAUGACGGCCUUCGGGUUGUAAACCGCUUUUGACUGGGAGCAAGCCCUUCGGGGUGAGUGUACCUUUCGAAUAAGCACCGGCUAACUACGUGCCAGCAGCCGCGGUAAUACGUAGGGUGCAAGCGUUAUCCGGAAUUAUUGGGCGUAAAGGGCUCGUAGGCGGUUCGUCGCGUCCGGUGUGAAAGUCCAUCGCUUAACGGUGGAUCCGCGCCGGGUACGGGCGGGCUUGAGUGCGGUAGGGGAGACUGGAAUUCCCGGUGUAACGGUGGAAUGUGUAGAUA
RNAcentral lists this ribosomal RNA (530 nucleotides) under Bifidobacterium adolescentis JCM 15918. RNAcentral describes it as "bacterial SSU rRNA". It matches the Rfam family "Bacterial small subunit ribosomal RNA", at positions 155 to 696 of the family's 1533-position model. The record is from RNAcentral. Lineage: Bacteria; Bacillati; Actinomycetota; Actinomycetes; Bifidobacteriales; Bifidobacteriaceae.